AUUGAACGCUGGCGGCAUGCCUUACACAUGCAAGUCGAACGGCAGCACGGGGGCAACCCUGGUGGCGAGUGGCGAACGGGUGAGUAACACAUCGGAACGUGCCCAGUAGUGGGGGAUAGCUCGGCGAAAGCCGGAUUAAUACCGCAUACGACCUACGGGUGAAAGCGGGGGAUCGCAAGACCUCGCGCUAUUGGAGCGGCCGAUGUCAGAUUAGGUUGUUGGUGGGGUAAAGGCCACCAAGCCGACGAUCUGUAGCUGGUCUGAGAGGACGACCAGCCACACUGGGACUGAGACACGGCCCAGACUCCUACGGGAGGCAGCAGUGGGGAAUUUUGGACAAUGGGCGCAAGCCUGAUCCAGCCAUGCCGCGUGCGGGAAGAAGGCCU
Molecule: ribosomal RNA, 386 nt
Filed under: uncultured bacterium
Lineage: Bacteria
Description: bacterial SSU rRNA
Rfam family: Bacterial small subunit ribosomal RNA
Source: RNAcentral